CCUACGGGAGGCAGCAGUGGGGAAUAUUGGACAAUGGGGGCAAGCCUGAUCCAGCCAUACCGCGUGGGUGAAGAAGGCCUUCGGGUUGUAAAGCCCUUUUGUUGGGAAAGAAAAGCAGUCGGUUAAUACCCGGUUGUCUGACGUACUCAAAGAUAGCCCCG
This 161-nucleotide ribosomal RNA is filed under the name uncultured Xanthomonas sp. RNAcentral's name for it is "partial 16S ribosomal RNA". It matches the Rfam family "Bacterial small subunit ribosomal RNA", at positions 338 to 495 of the family's 1533-position model. The record is from RNAcentral. Lineage: Bacteria; Pseudomonadati; Pseudomonadota; Gammaproteobacteria; Lysobacterales; Lysobacteraceae.